CCUUCUCAAACUUUUGGUUUGGUAGUGAGUGAUACUCGGUCGCAAGACUAAGGGUUAACUUGAAAAUGCUGGCCAUGGGCGGAGCUUGCGCGGACUGCGGUCUAAGCUGGCUUUUACACUGCGUAUUGGGUUUCGACCGGAUCGUGGAGUUAAAGCUAGUGUUUGAGGAACGCAUUUACAAACAAGACCUCUCAGGCGAAUAGUAUUC
Eremothecium sinecaudum is the source of this 208-nucleotide non-coding RNA. The record is from RefSeq and is a predicted model, not a curated record. NCBI's taxonomy places the organism in Eukaryota, Fungi, Ascomycota, Saccharomycetes, Saccharomycetales, Saccharomycetaceae.